Pseudopipra pipra is the source of this 2171-nucleotide long non-coding RNA. RefSeq lists it as uncharacterized. The transcript has 9 exons. The record is from RefSeq and is a predicted model, not a curated record. Lineage: Eukaryota; Metazoa; Chordata; Aves; Passeriformes; Pipridae.
GCUGAUUUCAGACAGGAAAAUUGCCCCCCCAGGAGGGACUCUGUGCCUGCUCUCCCGUGGCUCCAAGGGAUCUCUGGCCCUUCACGCCGGCACCGAGAUUUUCUCGGGAAGGGCCUCAGAUCCCCGGACCAGUCUGGGACACAGGCAAGAUCCCCCUGCAUUUUAGGACCAAAUUGGCCCCCUGGAGGGACAGUGCUGUUGGUGCCCCCCGGGUUGGGGCACCCCGAGGACUCCAGCGCGCACCGAAAGGAUUAUUCGGGGAGAUCCUCGGGGUGCCCGGCCCUGGGGAGCUCAAAGCAAGGUCCCUGCAAUGGAUUCAGGCAUUGCUGAGAGUAUCCCAGGGGUACCUGUCCCUGCUAGACAUGGAGCUCUCUAAUGGGCUGUAAUUGGGUGAUAAAAGUGGUGCUCCAAGUGCCAAAGCAGUGUGGGAUUGGGAUUAAGAAAUGAGCAGUGAUGGUCCAAUUGGCUGUUUUCUCUUGAAUAUAAGGAUAAGAGCUGCAGGAGUGCCAGGUGUGUGUUCCAGUCCCCAGCAUUUGGUUUGCACAUGUCCUGGUCAGACACAGGUCCAACUUCCUCAGUCCUUAACCCAACAGAAGGAGAAUGAAGGACUGGCAGUGUUAAAGUGAUUGGUGUGACAGGGGUUAAACUGGGAAAACAUUGGGGAAUUCCAGAGUUUGUCUGUUUGCCAAACUCACCCAAACCUGUGCUAGGAAGAGAUUGAGUGGAAAAGUUGAGGCAGAAAUGAAAUGGAAAACUGGGGAUAUUGAAACUGUAAUUGCUGAAACUAAAUGUGUCCAAGCAGCAGCUCUUGUUGUGCAGGGAAUAACUCCUGUCAGCAGCAAGGUCCCGACUGAAGUGGCAGCUGCAGUUGUUCCUGUGGUGUGGGCCAGUGGAAUUGCAGGAGAGUGGAAGAGGGCAGAACCUGUAGGAUGUGAAUGCAAGAACCUGCCAAGGAACCAAUGACCAAGAUGAUUGAUCAGUGCAGGAUCUGAGAGAAGCACCUUGAAUGACAACCUCGAGCAGUUUCCAGUAUUGGAUUGAAAAGAUGGCCUUUGCUGCAUCUCCUUGAGCAAGGAAAGCCAAGAAACCCAUGAUUUGGAAGGAGAAAACCUGGAAAGGAGGAAGGAAGAAAAGAAGCUCCCUGACUCCUCCUGAGCCCCAGACAGCCCAUGAACUGCCUUGCUGGGAAUGGUGGGACGGGGUGGACUCUGGAUUGCUCCCUCUGGAUGUGUGGAACUCCAGGAACUCCUGGUGCCGCCUGGGCCGAUGGAUUGGACGCCCCAGCCCCUCCGUUCCUGCCCAGCCACUGGGUCCGUGUCCAGUGGUGGCACUGCCAGCCCUGCAGUGGGAUGUAGCCUGGAAAGUGCACAGAGCUGAGCCAAGGGAUUGAAAGGGACCAAGCAAGGGAGGUGAAGAAAGAAGGAAGAAGGGAACUGAGGCAUGAGCCAAGCAGCAGCAAGUUGCUGUGUAAGCAGAAGUUGCCCUUGAUGAACUUCCCAUCUGAGCUGAUGCCCUUGGCAGGAGAAGUGCUCAGCAAGGAGGCUCUUUGCUCCUAGGCAGGAAGAAAGAGGGAUAAUAACUCCUGUCAGCAGCAAGGUCCCGACUGAAGUGGCAGCUGCAGUUGUUCCUGUCGUGUGGGCCAGUGGAAUUCCAAGAAAAUGGACAAGGACAGAAGCUGUAAGAAUUACCCCUAAGGCAGAGUCUCUCCUGGCAGAAGAGCCCAGGCCUGAGCUGGCUGAGUGUUGGUGUGAGCCAGAGUGGGUGUCCCUGCCCUCGGGCCAGUCCCCAGAGCUGCCUUUGGCAUCCCCUGCUGAAGGGUGGGAGCUGCCCAGAGCCAGCAGCAUCCAGCUGGAGGAUCCAGGAGGAUGCAGCUCUGCUUUGCUGGGAGCUUGUCCAGGAGAUGGAAUUCCAGUGCUACAGUCUGGGUGGGUCAUGGUGCUCCCAAAAGGAGCCUUUGUGCCUUCAGGACAAGUUUUGGUGCCACUGGAGCUGCUGGGAGAAGCAUAGGGUUGGCAGUGAGAGGCCUGGAAUGAUGUUGCUGUGGCACAGAAGAAAUGAGCAGUGAUGGUACAAUUGACUAUUUUGUCUUGAAUGUAAUGGACGUGAAUGCAAGAACCUGCCAAGAAAACCAAUGGCCAAGAUGAUUGAUGAGUGCAGGACCUGAGAGAACC